CUCUCUGCAUUGGUUGUGUUCUGUUUCUAAGAGCCGCCGAUCGUCUGUUUCCGUGUAGGAGGAAUAGCAUUUACACUUGUGGGUGUAUUGCUGGACUGUGUGUACGGGUCUCUCACUCUCUCCCCGGCAGAUUGUUUUCAGUCAGCUGUUCGGAUUUGGAUAUUAAGCGCGCCGGGCUUUGUAUGUUGUGGGACUCGCUGGAUGUGGAUGUGCUUUUGUGACCUCUCCCUACCCCUGUAAACCUCCAGUUGCCAGGGCCCGGGCUCCAUGAAAAGCGGUGCAAGCAGCCUAAAGGCUUAAUCGGUGUGGAGGAUUUCUUACUCUUGUGGAAUAACAUCCUUCCUGGCAACGGGGUCACUCUGCUUGGCAGAUGCUGCCUGGACUGCUGAGAGUUCUGUUUUUUCCUGAAAUUAUGUGGACAAUUGAAGUGUUCACACUGGACGG
Molecule: long non-coding RNA, 444 nt
Organism: Mobula hypostoma (lesser devil ray)
Lineage: Eukaryota; Metazoa; Chordata; Chondrichthyes; Myliobatiformes; Myliobatidae
Exons: 3
Source: RefSeq, a predicted model, not a curated record